UACGGAGGGGGCUAGCGUUGUUCGGAAUUACUGGGCGUAAAGCGCGCGUAGGCGGCCCUGUAAGUCCGUUGUGAAAGUCAAAGGCUCAACCUUUGAAAGCCGAUGGAUACUGCAGGGCUAGAGUCCGGAAGAGGCGAGUGGAAUUCCUGGUGUAGCGGUGGAAUGCGCAGAUAUCAGGAGGAACACCAAUAGCGAAGGCAGCUCGCUGGGACGGUACUGACGCUGAGACGCGAAAGCGUGGGGAGCGAACAGG
Molecule: ribosomal RNA, 253 nt
Filed under: uncultured bacterium
Lineage: Bacteria
Description: partial 16S ribosomal RNA
Rfam family: Bacterial small subunit ribosomal RNA
Source: RNAcentral